Long non-coding RNA from Oncorhynchus nerka (sockeye salmon), 1993 nucleotides. RefSeq lists it as uncharacterized. The transcript is spliced from 3 exons. NCBI's taxonomy places the organism in Eukaryota, Metazoa, Chordata, Actinopteri, Salmoniformes, Salmonidae. The record is from RefSeq and is a predicted model, not a curated record.
CACACACACACAAAUACAUAUACAUAAACAUAUUCACAGGAUACUCAACUUAUCUCUUUUCCUACAUCAGAUGUACAGGUGACAUUUCCACCUGGAUGACAGCACAUAAUCAGCAACACAGAGAUGCUCUUCAUCCGAGGGAAUGCCUGCCUGUUCUCAUUGUUACAUCAUCCCAGACAAUCACAUGUCAUUUACAUUCUAGCCCUAAGGAUUGCCUGCCCGUUCUCAUUGUUACAUCAUCCCAGAUGAUCACGUCAUUUACAUUCCAUCCCUAAGGAUUGCCUGCCUGUUCUCAUUGUUACAUCAUCCCAGAUGAUCACGUCAUUUACAUUCCAUCCCUAAGGAUUGCCUGCCUGUUCUCAUUCUUACAUCAUCCCAGAUGAUCACGUCAUUUACAUUCCAUCCCUAAGGAUUGCCUGCCCGCUCUCAGAUGUUAGAUAACCCCAGAUCCUUCCUGAGAGAGAAGGGGUGUAGUAUCUUCAGAUGGGCGUGUGGUGCCCUUCCUCACCCACGCCAACAAGAUGUUACUUCUUGUGGGGUCUUUGCCUUGAAAUUUGCUGAAUGUGUUCUGAAGGUGUCGAUUGUCUUUUCAAAUAUGGACAAAGAUGUUAACAUCAUGAGAGAAAUAGCAGAAAUAGCAGUCACUCCCCUCCGAAACACUGGUAUGUUCAAUUUCAUAUAAUUGUAUAUAAAAAAAGAUUUAUAUGGAUCUUUCAAGGUUAUCUUUGAUCCACAUUCUGACUAGAUGGCCACUAAAAUACAUGAAUUUCGGUAGGCAAGAAAAUCGAAGAAAAUUUCCUUAAUUUUGUCACUAGAGUCAAAUACUUUCUACAGAUCAAACUUCAUGUCAGGAUAGGCAACCGAAAUGAAUAAUUAAUGUAUGUGUGUUAUAUUAAACAGAGGAGGGAGUCAAAUGUAGGCAAGCAAUAAACAUUUCAGAACAACUACUAGUUGACACGGGAGAGAUGACGCAUUUUGGCGAAGAGACGUAUUUUAAUAGACUAAUACACUUGAAACAAAUAGCCAAACCGAAAACUGCAGACAUUACUAGUGCCCCCCUCUUCCCGCGAUCAAACCGCCAUUAAAAAAUAAAUAAAAUGAAACGCAGUGAUCACUGACAGCUGCCUUGAAGAACACACAUGUACAAUUAUUUCUGCUUCUAAGAUCAGUGAAAUAGAGGCUUAACUGACAACUGAGUGAAGAACAAAAAAAAGCAAGUAGCAGCAAUGAAGAAUUGAAUGAAGAAUUGAGUGAAGAAUUGAGUGAAGAAUUGAAUGAAGAAUUGAGUGCGUAGAAUUCUGGCAGGGGGGGGGCUUUUCUGCACAACAUCGGAAGUGAAGGCGGAGCCUCGGCUCUUUUGUCUUGUGAUUUUGGGCAGAGAGCCACGUGUUGAAAUAUAACGUCUCAGACCUCUACCUCCCUAAUCUACAAUAUCAGUAGACUAGACGUAAAUAUUCCCAUCUGGUUAUAUAUAUUCCCAACUUCGCCGGAUGUCUGUAAUCGACAAUAACGGAAGAAUCUACAAUGAAUAAGGUAGGUUGAUAUACAUUUAAGACAAGGGGCCUUUGUAGCCAACUUCCUGCUUUUACACAGCAUCCGUUUAACGGUCAAAACAAAUGCUAUGGGUAACAUACACUAUUAUUGCGGAUGUAGCGAAAUGCUAUUGACAUUUGUGCUGUUUUUGUACGUGAAAAUAAUGUAUUUGUUAUUUUUAAACUCGUUGGGAAGGUUCGUAAGCAACCAUUUCACUGUGAAGCCGCAUGCUGAAAGUUGGUGGCCAUUGGCAAAAAUCGCUCCGCCAUUUCCUUGUUGCAAAAAAAUAUAAUAGUUUACCUAAUUUCAGUUUAUGUGACAAAAGAAGCACGCACAGUAUAGAGAAUCAUUGUACCAUCUAAACCACUGUGAAAUAUAUUUUCAAUAACCAACAAUAUUGUUUUUUCAAGCUGGUGAACAAAACCAAGUAUACAGAACAAAAAAUACAAACGCGACAUGC